Molecule: transfer RNA, 74 nt
Filed under: Rhodococcus sp. 06-156-3C
Lineage: Bacteria; Bacillati; Actinomycetota; Actinomycetes; Mycobacteriales; Nocardiaceae
Description: tRNA-Leu
Rfam family: tRNA
About the family: Transfer RNA (tRNA) molecules are approximately 80 nucleotides in length.
Source: RNAcentral
GCCCGCUUGGCCCAAUUGGCAGAGGCACUUGACUUAGAAUCAAGGGGUUGGGGGUUCGAAUCCCUCAGCGGGCA